Molecule: long non-coding RNA, 502 nt
Organism: Oncorhynchus nerka (sockeye salmon)
Lineage: Eukaryota; Metazoa; Chordata; Actinopteri; Salmoniformes; Salmonidae
Exons: 2
Source: RefSeq, a predicted model, not a curated record
AGUUAGGCAACAGGUUCGUUUCUAAUAAUAAAACAUUAAUGACAAUUUCAAAAACUUUAUUAGAGUACCAACAUCUUGAAAAGAACAACAGGAUGACUGUCACGAAUCCCGCUUCCUGAGUCUGUGUUUGCCUGUGUUUCUGUCCUGGAGUGUGUUUCCGGUGUCCUGGAACGCACCCUGUCUGGUUGCCGGGCGAAUUAGCUUGUUGGGAGAUCGAUGUUCACCCGCACCUGUAUCCCAUCAGUAAUCUGCACACCUGUCCUGAUCAUCACCUCUCCCCUUCAAAAGCUCUGACCUGACAUCCAUUCCCUGCCGGAUCGUUAGCCAUGAACAUUACUCACCCGGAUCAUUUACCCCAUUCCCGCCUGGUCGGAGGAGGAUUCCGCUACCCCAUUGGAUCCACCUAUUUACUCCCAUCAACUCACCACCGCUGCCCGCUACGCCACCUGGAUAUAUCUACCCAUUCACAUUCACUUGUAAAUAAAUACUCACCUUCUUCCUA